This is a non-coding RNA of Schistocerca nitens (vagrant locust), 74 nucleotides long. The record is from the annotation of a RefSeq genome assembly. NCBI's taxonomy places the organism in Eukaryota, Metazoa, Arthropoda, Insecta, Orthoptera, Acrididae.
UCCUCGCUGGCUCAGAUGGAUAGAGCGUCUGCCAAGUAAGCAGGAGGGCCCGGGUUCGAGUCCCGGUCGGGGCA